RNAcentral lists this ribosomal RNA (775 nucleotides) under uncultured Neocallimastigales. Its description in RNAcentral is "partial large subunit ribosomal RNA". It matches the Rfam family "Eukaryotic large subunit ribosomal RNA", at positions 24 to 616 of the family's 3401-position model. The record is from RNAcentral. Lineage: Eukaryota; Fungi; Neocallimastigomycota; Neocallimastigomycetes; Neocallimastigales.
UACGACUACAUAUCAGGCAUAUCAAUAAGCGGAGGAAAAGAAACUAACUAGGAUUCCCUCAGUAACGGCGAGUGAAGCGGGAAGAGCUCAAAUUUGAAAUCUUCAAGGUUUUACCCUGACGAAUUGUAGUUUAAAGAAGUGUUUUCUGUUGGAGUUUUGGUAAAAGUUCUUUGGAAUAGGACAUCAUAGAGGGUGAGAAUCCCGUAUUUGACCAUUAUUUUCAGCUGUGUGAUACACUUUCAAAGAGUCGGAUUGUUUGGGAAUGCAGUCCAUAAAUGGGUGGUAAAUUUCAUCUAAAGCUAAAUAUUGGCGAGAGGCCGAUAGCGAACAAGUACCGUGAGGGAAAGAUGAAAAGAACUUUGAAAAGAGAGUUAAACAGUACGUGAAAUUGUCAAAAGGGAAGCGUUUGACACCAGUGUUGUUUUCUCGAAAAUCAAUUAAAAAGAGUUGGAUUUUGUGUUGUAUUGACCUUAACAGCUUGCUUCACUCUUUUCCAGCUUUUUUUAAUGCACUUUUCGUUUAACAAGUCAACAUCAGUUUCUUUUGUUGUAAAAGGGCCAUUGGAAGGUGGCUUUCUUUUCGGAGAAAGUGUUUAUAGCCUUUGGCCUCUUCAAUCGGAGAGAUUGAGGUCCGCAGCGUAGAUCCUUCGGGGUUAGAUACAUUUGUGCUAAGUUAUAGCCUUUCAUAGACAACUUGUUGACUAUGAUCAGUCAUGUAGCUUACUCGCUUAUGCUAUUUUACCUACGCUUAGGAUGUUGAGCGCAUGUCUCUCUCU